RNAcentral lists this long non-coding RNA (444 nucleotides) under Ananas comosus (pineapple). Its description in RNAcentral is "long non-coding RNA (ACOM_LNC034468)". The record is from RNAcentral. Lineage: Eukaryota; Viridiplantae; Streptophyta; Magnoliopsida; Poales; Bromeliaceae.
GUGUAUUGAUUUAGUGCUAUGUGGUUUCAUUUUUUUAUUAUUAUUAAUUUUACUAAUUUUUUUUUUAAAUUAGUGACGAAGUUAAAACUAAAGAGUAUUAAAGUGACUAUUCGAUAAACUUAGGUGGGUAUCUGAAGUUUUUGUAUUUUAUUUUACUAAAUAUUAAUGCAGAAGUUUACAAAAAGAAAAAAAAAAUAAAACCAUACGGUACUAAAUUGAUACACUUUAAAUCAUAGGAUACUAAAAUGAGAAAGUGCGAAACCACAUCCUACUGGGAUGGUAUUUGAAGUUUAUCCUUAAUAAAAUUGGCCCACUUAAAUUUUUAAUAGAAAAAUAUUAUUAUUGUAUUUUUUUUCAAAAAAAAUAUUAUUGAUUUGUUAUUAAUUAUAUGGUAUAAAUAUGACACCGUAAAUUUUCUCUAGAUGAUGGGUGGGUGAUGGUUGA